AUCAUUAAAACACUGGCUACUAUAUGAUCACCAAAAUUAAGCAACAUUGAGCCUGGUCAGUACUUAGAUGGGAGACCACUUGGGAAUAUAAGGUGUC
This is a non-coding RNA of Acanthosepion pharaonis, 97 nucleotides long. NCBI's taxonomy places the organism in Eukaryota, Metazoa, Mollusca, Cephalopoda, Sepiida, Sepiidae. The record is from the annotation of a GenBank genome assembly.